RNAcentral lists this long non-coding RNA (479 nucleotides) under Equus caballus (horse). RNAcentral's name for it is "lncRNA (ENSECAG00000048130.1)". The record is from RNAcentral. Lineage: Eukaryota; Metazoa; Chordata; Mammalia; Perissodactyla; Equidae.
CGUGCAGGCCCAGGCUCCCAUGUGGGUGGUCGAGACUCCCACUCGGACGCCCUCAUCCCACUCAAGCUCCAACAUCCAGUUCCUCCAGCCACUGCGUCUCCUGCUUUGGCUCCUGCAGAUACUGACCCUGCUCACCCAACCUAACAGGUUGGCCCUGAACUUGUUUAGGAAGAGAAUGAAGGUAGCAGAGGAAGCAGAACGGGGGCCAUCUCGACGGCGUUCGUCAGUUAGCGCCUGCAGGAAAUCUGCCCAUGGUCCACCACCAAAGAGCUUGGAAACGCCUCAUUCUCAACGUCACAUGAAAAUCAGCCCUGAGCUAAUAUCUGCCGCAAUCCUCCUCUUUUUGCUGAGGAAGACUGGCCCUGAGCUAACAUCCAUGCCCAUCUUCCUCUACAUUAUAUGUGGGAUGCCUACCAGAGCAUGGCUUGCCAAGCUGUGCCAUGUCCACACCCGGGAUCCGAACCAGUGAACCCCAGGCC